AGUAGAGAGGAGAAGUGUCUUGUUCUGUCUGCGUGGGAAAUUCAUGGGGCUUUAAAUUUCUCACCGGGACACAGGUCCACCCAGGGGGUUCAGUGAGGUUUUUCUGUCUGAGCAGAGGUUCUGUGAACUGCACUGAAAUUCAUUUUGCAGCCAUGCAGCAGGUGCUGGAUAACCUCAAGGA
Molecule: long non-coding RNA, 181 nt
Organism: Sinocyclocheilus grahami
Lineage: Eukaryota; Metazoa; Chordata; Actinopteri; Cypriniformes; Cyprinidae
Exons: 3
Source: RefSeq, a predicted model, not a curated record